UACGUAGGUGGCAAGCGUUGUCCGGAUUUAUUGGGUUUAAAGGGUGCGUAGGCGGUCUUUUAAGUCAGUGCUGAAAUACUCCAGCUUAACUGGAGGGGUGGCAUUGAUACUGGGAGACUUGAGUGUAGUCGAGGUAGGCGGAAUUGACGGUGUAGCGGUGAAAUGCUUAGAUAUCGUCAAGAACACCGAUAGUGAAGACAGCUUACUAGGCUACAACUGACGCUGAGGCACGAAAGUGUGAGGAUCAAACAGG
Molecule: ribosomal RNA, 253 nt
Filed under: uncultured bacterium
Lineage: Bacteria
Description: partial 16S ribosomal RNA
Rfam family: Bacterial small subunit ribosomal RNA
Source: RNAcentral